AUGAAAGGAAUGAGACAGAAAUUUAGUGUACUAGUAGUUUCCUUUUUGAAGGUUUCAGCUAGAGAGGAAGUUUAUGCAAUCAUCUUCAUCAAUGGCGCGCUGUCACCUCAUCUGCUUGGCCUUGGCACUGGUAGUCCUCAUCGCCUCGACCGUGUGGCUCGUAGCUCAGUGCAAGCACCCGACGCCGCAGCGCUACUACGCCGCCGUCGACUCAGCAGAGGGCGGUGGCCGCCCAACCUAGAGUUCACCCUGUCCCUCGGCGUGCAGUCGCAGAGCCCGCUGUGGGGCCGCAUGUGCCUGGAGCGCGGCACCGCGGUGACGGUGGCCUACCACGGCGUCCCGCUCGAGCACGGCGCCCUUGGCCGGGAGGUCUGCGCCCAGCCGUGGAUGCCGUGGAAGGCGAGCUGGACGACGGUCGUAGCGCGGGCGAGCAAGGUGGAGCGCACGCAGCCGGGGUUCGUGGUGGACGGGCUCGCCGCUGACACGAGGCGCGGCGUGCUCGUAUUCGACGUGACGCUGCGGAUACCGGCGACGGGGCAUGUCGACGACGACGACGGCGAGAAGCUGGUGUCGUGCGUGGCAAGGCAGGUCGGGGACGCAUCGUCACCUGCAUGUGAUGUGCGCUUCGCUGGGACCUCCACCUUCCAGAGCUUUCGCCAACCGGAUUUCUCAGCGUCAGAAUUAGAUGAUCCUGCACAUUCAUCCAACCAUGCCUCUCUGCACCUCUUGGUAGCAACCCAUGCGAUUUCCCUGCCCCUCCCCAUGUUGCCCAAAUGUUUUCAACCAGUAGGAACGUCUGAUGCGGCCCAGUGGCAGCAGCGGUUUGCUCAGAAAAAUGGAAAAACAAAUUCCUGUCUUGGAGGCAUGUGUUGUACACCAAGUAGAGGUUUAUGUCGUGAGCAUCUUCUUGUACUCCUUGAACGUGCCCGGGAACGGGGCGACCUUGCCGUCCGUCACCGCCCAGAGCUCAUCCACACUCCCCGUGAUCAGAUGCUCGUCGUGACUCACCUGCAAAAGAGUACCAUUUGGUUAGGACGAUGCUAUACCUUGACACGAAAAGGAACAACAUGCAGCGUCGUGGCAAUGUGUCCUUACCAUCAGUACUCCUCCCUGGAAUAUGAGCAGGCCCUACUCUUGAAGCGCGCCCUCGACGCCGCCCCACUGCUCGCCACGCUGCAGCUUGACGGCGUAGACCUCUUGUUAAUGGAGACCCUCCAUGUCCGCUGCCCCAAGGUCACCACCCUCGGGCUGGCGAAUUUGUACAGCCGGGGCUAUCAAUGCCAGAACAUUAUGGAGCUCGACGCGCCGCAGCUGCAAUGCUUCGCCUACCAAGGCCCCCCUGCGGUCGCUGUCGUUCAAGUCACUGCCACCGGACAUGACACGGGUAGACUUGCGCUUCCAAGUUCCAGCUGCUCGACCAAAAACAGACGACAAGAUGUGCCAACUCUUCUGGAAGUUUGUUCAGAACUUCAGCGGUGCAAGCAUCAUCAACCUCAACUUUCAACGUCGUGGGGCAUGUUUGGUUUGGUGUUGCCGUUGCCACGUUAUGAGCUCUUGUUUAUCGACGGGUGUGUGCUGCACUCUUCGGGAAGACCGGCUAGAUAUUUCGCCUGGUCUCUCUGGAAGGAUCCCGUGAAAUCCCGUUCCACCGCUUGGUCGUUGUUUGGCCCUAUAAAAAUGCGUCACUCCGUGUGCGUCUUCCAUCUCGGAUGCGCCAUCAUCCCUGCUCCUUCACUCCUGACACCCCUUCCGUCGAACACAAUGCCGCUUGCAGGUCACGGGCCCGCGCGACUCCGCAGCAUCGUGAUCCUCCAGCGCGGGCGUGCCGCCGCCAUCAAGACGAACCGGUGCCGCCUUCGGUCGCUGGUGCGUUCCCUCGCUAAUAAGGUCGAUGGCUCCCUCCCCCGCACCGCUUCUUUCCUACUCAUCUUUCAAUUUUUCUCUAUCCUUGCAGUCACCGCAGGUAGUGGCAGCAUGUACGCAUCAGGAGCGGGCGCCUCUUCUUUCGUGCUCUCGCUAGAUCCUCCCAGCAGCAAGUCACCCUCUCCACCACGCCCUUUUCCUGCGGACUACGGGAGUCAAAUGCUAGCUGGCCCUUGA
RNAcentral lists this ribosomal RNA (2100 nucleotides) under Triticum aestivum (bread wheat). Its description in RNAcentral is "partial small subunit ribosomal RNA". Lineage: Eukaryota; Viridiplantae; Streptophyta; Magnoliopsida; Poales; Poaceae. The record is from RNAcentral.